GAUGAAGAACGCAAGCGAAAUGCGAUACUUGGUGUGAAUUGCAGAAUCCCGUGAACCAUCGAGUCUUUGAACGCAAGUUGCGCCCGAAGCCUCGGCUAAGGGCACGUCUGCCUGGGCGUCACGCAUCGCGUCUCCCCCAAACCGCCAAGGCGGAGGGGAAGGAAGAUGGCUUCCCGUGCCUCACCCGGGCGCGGUUGGCCUAAAUUUGGAGCCCGCGGCACUUAGCUCUCGCGGCGAUAAGUGGUGAACAAGGCCUUGGCCGUGCAAACAACCCGCUGCGAAGCUCUAUGUCACGUGCGCUCGUCGGACCCUUUGAAGUUGCCUUUGGUGACUUAAAACCUUUGCGACCCCAGGUCAGGCGGGGCUACCCGCUGAAUUUAAGCAUAUCAAUAAGCGGAGGA
RNAcentral lists this unclassified non-coding RNA (401 nucleotides) under soil metagenome. RNAcentral's name for it is "partial contains 5.8S ribosomal RNA, internal transcribed spacer 2, and large subunit ribosomal RNA". The stretch from base 1 to 121 matches the Rfam family "5.8S ribosomal RNA", at positions 35 to 154 of the family's 154-position model. The record is from RNAcentral.